AGAGUUUGAUCCUGGCUCAGAACGAACGCUGGCGGCGUGGAUAAGACAUGCAAGUCGAACGAGAGAAUUGCUAGCUUGCUAAUAAUUCUCUAGUGGCGCACGGGUGAGUAACACGUGAGUAACCUGCCCCCGAGAGCGGGAUAGCCCUGGGAAACUGGGAUUAAUACCGCAUAGUAUCGAAAGAUUAAAGCAGCAAUGCGCUUGGGGAUGGGCUCGCGGCCUAUUAGUUAGUUGGUGAGGUAACGGCUCACCAAGGCGAUGACGGGUAGCCGGUCUGAGAGGAUGUCCGGCCACACUGGAACUGAGACACGGUCCAGACACCUACGGGUGGCAGCAGUCGAGAAUCAUUCACAAUGGGGGAAACCCUGAUGGUGCGACGCCGCGUGGGGGAAUGAAGGUCUUCGGAUUGUAAACCCCUGUCAUGUGGGAGCAAAUUAAAAAGAUAGUACCACAAGAGGAAGAGACGGCUAACUCUGUGCCAGCAGCCGCGGUAAUACAGAGGUCUCAAGCGUUGUUCGGAAUCACUGGGCGUAAAGCGUGCGUAGGCUGUUUCGUAAGUCGUGUGUGAAAGGCGCGGGCUCAACCCGCGGACGGCACAUGAUACUGCGAGACUAGAGUAAUGGAGGGGGAACCGGAAUUCUCGGUGUAGCAGUGAAACGCGUAGAUAUCGAGAGGAACACUCGUGGCGAAGGCGGGUUCCUGGACAUUAACUGACGCUGAGGCACGAAGGCCAGGGGAGCGAAAGGGAUUAGAUACCCCUGUAGUCCUGGCAGUAAACGGUGCACGCUUGGUGUGCGGGGAAUCGACCCCCUGCGUGCCGGAGCUAACGCGUUAAGCGUGCCGCCUGGGGAGUACGGUCGCAAGAUUAAAACUCAAAGAAAUUGACGGGGACCCGCACAAGCGGUGGAGUAUGUGGCUUAAUUCGAUGCAACGCGAAGAACCUUACCUGGGCUUGACAUGUAAUGAACAACAUGUGAAAGCAUGCGACUCUUCGGAGGCGUUACACAGGUGCUGCAUGGCCGUCGUCAGCUCGUGUCGUGAGAUGUUUGGUUAAGUCCAGCAACGAGCGCAACCCCUGUUGCCAGUUACCAGCACGUGAAGGUGGGGACUCUGGCGAGACUGCCCAGAUCAACUGGGAGGAAGGUGGGGACGACGUCAGGUCAGUAUGGCCCUUAUGCCCAGGGCUGCACACGUACUACAAUGCCCAGUACAGAGGGGGCCGAAGCCGCGAGGCGGAGGAAAUCCUAAAAACUGGGCCCAGUUCGGACUGUAGGCUGCAACCCGCCUACACGAAGCCGGAAUCGCUAGUAAUGGCGCAUCAGCUACGGCGCCGUGAAUACGUUCCCGGGUCUUGUACACACCGCCCGUCACAUCAUGGAAGCCGGUCGCACCCGAAGUAUCUGAAGCCAACCGCAAGGAGGCAGGGUCCUAAGGUGAGACUGGUAACUGGGAUGAAGUCGUAACAAGGUA
This 1470-nucleotide ribosomal RNA is filed under the name metagenome. Its description in RNAcentral is "bacterial SSU rRNA". It matches the Rfam family "Bacterial small subunit ribosomal RNA". The record is from RNAcentral.